This 274-nucleotide ribosomal RNA is filed under the name uncultured bacterium. RNAcentral describes it as "partial 16S ribosomal RNA". It matches the Rfam family "Bacterial small subunit ribosomal RNA", at positions 523 to 796 of the family's 1533-position model. The record is from RNAcentral.
AUACGGAGGGUGCGAGCGUUACUCGGAGUCACUGGGCGUAAAGCGUCCGUAGGCGGUCGGGUAAGUCGGGUGUGAAAGCCCCGGGCGCAACCUGGGAAGUGCACCCGAUACUGCUCGACUCGAGUGCGGGAGAGGAUGGCGGAAUUCCCGGUGUAGCGGUGAAAUGCGUAGAGAUCGGGAGGAACACCAGUGGCGAAGGCGGCCAUCUGGCCCGCAACUGACGCUGAGGGACGAAAGCGUGGGGAGCAAACAGGAUUAGAUACCCUAGUAGUCC